CAAUAGUCGCUUUUUGCGACAGCAAUUCCUAUCUCAAAAAGAUGGAAGGAUAUGUUGGAUGGUUUUUGCGAUGGCAAAUUAUUAGUCGUCGUAAAAGCCUAUUUUUUUGAGAUGACUUUUUUCCCGUCGCAAAAGAUUUUUUUUUUGGCAUGGCCUUCGUUGUGUCGUGGCUAAUAGACCAAAAAAAAAAAGCGCUUCUUGUUUUUUUCUCUAUCACGCCUCUGUCUCCGUCACGCCCUCCUCCUCCUCUCUCUCGCUCCACCACUAUCGGUAUAGGAGCACACGACCACCACUGCCAUUGAUAUCACCAUCGCAAACCAGCAGCGCCUGAUGGCAACACUCGCAGUUACGGAAAACAUCAGAGGCAAAUCCGAAAUACAAAAAUUAACGGCCUCUCUCACCUUUACGCGAUCGUUCGUUCGUUCGUUCGUUCGUGUCGAGUGUUUUCGUGAUAGAGAACGAGGAAGCAAGGAACUCCCGAAGCGUAGAGAGAGAAUCUAGAGAGAGAAAGAGAGAAAAUUGGGGCUGAGGAGGGAAAAAAGUUACAGAAGGUUUUCUCGUUGUUUUUUGGUUUCUCUCAGAGGUUAAAGCCUCUGUAACAAUUCCAAUGUGUUUCUAGACCCCAUCAUUACCUUCAUUUUCCAUUUCCAUUACCGUUUCCAGAGAGAAAAUCCCGAGGAAAAGUGAGGAAGAUAUAGAGAGAGUCGUCUUUGGUGCGAGUUUAUCGAUUUUGGGGGCAAAAAUUGGAUCUUGUAGGUUAUUCACAUUGUGGGUAUAUUGGAAAGAAUCAAUGGGUUCGCCUACAUUGUGCUUUUGAAGGAAAUUUAGGGUUUGAUCACUCUCAAUUUGAUUGAUUUGUGAGAAAAAUGGUAUUCACUUCCAAUUGAUUUUUGCAACUAUUUUGUUUUUCAUUUUUUUUUGAAUUUUGAUGAUUUUUGAGUUAUAUUUGCUGACCUUAGUUGGUAAUGGGAGCAAAACAGUCUCCCAUUUCACCAAGUGAUGCUGACGUGAGCACCACCGUCUACAAUCUCAGUUUCGUAUUCUCUUUCUUCCCAUCAAUUUUUCAAGGUGAUACUGUUCAAUCAAAGUUAUGAAGGUUCUGAUUGCAAGGGAAGCUUUGUUCUUACAACUUGAAUAGAAUUUUUUUUGGGAAUUUCAUGAUGGCAAUAUUUGUUUGGUUUUAAUUCCAUCCAUAUCUCUUUCUUGUUGUGUUGGUUUAUUGCAGUAUAAAUGCUCAUCAAGGUCACUGUAAAUAUAUGAAGACAUGUACAUGUAUAAGAAGUAAAUAAUCUAUAUAUCUGUAUAUGUGUAAACAUGUAUUUAUGAUUUUUGUACCCUUGCUGUCUCGGUUUCCUACUUGUAGAAUUUUCGAUAUCUGCAUUUCCAUGUUGUUGUAUGUCUGUUUUUUGUGCGAAGUGUCUGGUGUUUAUUUCCAUGCUAUUUAUGCCAAAUGUUAUUCACAUGCUUGGAAAUUGUUGGGUGCUCAUGGUAGGAGUAUGAAUUAUUGAGUUCCAAGAAGCUUCAUAUAAAUUUGUGGUCCAUAGAUUGGAAUUUUUCUUAGCUGGUAACUUUUUAAUUUGAAAAAGUUGCUUUAGGGCCUAAGAGUUGAUUGGUUAUAUGCUUACUUGUCAAACCCAAGAUAUUGAUGCAUACAUUUAUGCUUCUUGAUCUUUGGGGCUGAACUGCAAUGAAGUGGUGAAUUAAGUAGUUAAAUUAAGGGUGUUGGAUCGAGUUUUACUAUCUCUCCUAAAAUUAAUUGGUGUUAUAGAGUGUUUCACUUUUGUCUUUUAUGGAGUUUGACAUCGUGCUCCGCAGAAUUGUUUUUAGAGCAAUCGUAGGGAGCGGGUAUUGUGUAUCAACAAAGGGAAAUGGAUUUAGAUUUAAAUUUAGAUCUAGAAAAAAAAAGGGAAAAGAAAAAAGACAAAAGAAGCUAUUAGAGCUUGGUUUGUGCAUUGAUUUUGUUAAUGUAAAGGGCUAUGAACGAUUUAAUGGGAGAAUAAAGUCAGCACUUUUAAAGAUUUCAGAUAUAAAGAUUGGGAAAAAUAAUCUACUCCAUGGCUUGAUCGAGAGCCACUAUUGGAUCAAUGGAAAGGUCUAGAGUCAUUCAUCAAGAAAAUCAAGAACUGUAAUGUCUUAUGACAAUAAGGGACAAUGUGGGAUCCUCUGUUCCCUUGUCCCAAAACACUCAUAGGUGUUGAGUUAUACAUCAAGAUUCUUGUUAUUUAAGAUUCUCACAUAAUUCAAUAGUUGCAAGUGUCUUGGGAUAGGGAGACAGAGAGAUUUGCGGGCACAGGAUGAUCCUUGGCCAUUAGGGGUCCUCUUUAUAAAUGAUAAUUAAGAGCAUAGGCAAAGCUUGUAAACAUUUUCCACCGCUAAUAUUACCAAAAUAGAUAGAAGUUCCCAAGCAACUAAAUUAGUUGGAUUGCACUUCUAAACUAACUCAACUUAGAAUGCAUAGAAUUCUAAAAUUCUAGCUUGAAAACUAAUAAUCUUGGUGUAUCGAUAUUAUAGAUAAAUUGUUACUGUCAUGCUUGUCUUGUUAUUUAUAUCAUGCUACAGAGUUAAGAUUAGAGUUUGGAUUAUUUAGUGAGGUUUUUGAUCCCUUUUCUUAUAUUUGUAUAAUAUUGAGCUAUAUAUAUCAUAGCUCUUUAAGGAGACUUCUGAUGAUUUAAAAGUUUUCUUCGGCUUUGGUAUUCUUUUCAUUUAGUGCCAACAGGAGGUUUUUCACCAAGUUUAUUUUCAAGCCUUCAACAGUGAUUCAGGUAUGAGACUGCUCUUGAUUGCGUCAAAUUUGCGACAAAUGACUAAUAAGACGACAUCUAAAAGGAAAACCAAAGCAUCAAACUCAUAGCUAAUGGUGCAUUUUAUUUUUUGUUUUUUAUUAUUAUUAUUAUUAUUAUUAUUAUUAUUAUUAUUAUUUUUGUUUUAUUAUGAUAUUGUGGUGGCUUAAGUGGAGGAGUAUGUCUGGGUACGAUGAUUUAGCUGUGAGCAAGUUCUUUGCCAUUUCUUGAAUUUUCUGGAACUUACAUUUUAACUGCUCUUAUGAUCAAAUUACAGGAAUAAUGAAGGACAUUGAUUAUAGCAAGAUAUUGAAGUUCAAUUAUAGGAACAACUCAUGUUUUCUAUAGAAAGUUGUUCAGAGAAGUAAGCAAUUCUUCAUUGGAUCAUGAUACACCUUCUAAAUAAGGAAAUUACCUCGACUCAGUUCCUUCUGCUUUCUACUGCUUCUGAGGCAAGUGAACACAAACUGACGUUAUAUUUGUUUUUUAUAUGGGUAUCUUCUUGGAUUACAUUUAAAUUUAAUUGUAUUAUCAUAUCAAACCACUCCUAGCUGUUAGUGCAAUUUUAAUGAGAUGAACUUUGUUUCAAUUUCUAACCGUGCUUUUAUUAUGCAAAAAGAACUUAAUUUCAGAAAUAAGAGCCAGCUGGUACUGUUGUUCUACCAAUUUUUUUUUUCUUUUUCCCUGAAGCAUGUACUCUUUCUUGUUAGUUCUUAUAGCAAGUGCUCAUGUUAGAUUUUUUAUUUUACGUUCUUAAAUCCUGUAGUUAGUUUUUGCACGAUAACCAUUGCUUAUCUACUAUUUUUUGUGUAAGGCUUAUACUCGGGAGUUUGUGGAAGUGGUCUAUGCUUGUUGGGUAAUAUUCUUUGAUUCAGAGCAGUAACUAAUCAAACUUGCACAAGACCUUACUAGGGGCGAAAAAGCUACUGGUUUGGAAACACCAUCCCGAGGUAUAAAAAUAGUUAGAGAAGUUGUUAGAAGAUAUAUUGUGUGGUGUUCGAUUCAUAUAUAUGUUAUAAUCUUAUUUAUUGAAAUAAAUAUCAAAUGUUUUACAUUUUUUUUAAGGUUGAAAUUAAUUAUAUUGUAAAUAAUUAAUUCUUUUUCUUUUUCUUUUUGCAAAUGCUAUCUUUUGAGUACA
This is a non-coding RNA of Camellia sinensis, 3918 nucleotides long. Lineage: Eukaryota; Viridiplantae; Streptophyta; Magnoliopsida; Ericales; Theaceae. The record is from RefSeq and is a predicted model, not a curated record.